This 541-nucleotide ribosomal RNA is filed under the name uncultured fungus. RNAcentral describes it as "eukaryotic LSU rRNA". The stretch from base 198 to 351 matches the Rfam family "5.8S ribosomal RNA". The record is from RNAcentral. Lineage: Eukaryota; Fungi.
AAGUCGUAACAAGGUCUCCGUAGGUGAACCUGCGGAGGGAUCAUUAUCGAGUGAGGGCCUCCGGCCCGACCUCCAACCCUUUUGUGAUUCAGACCGUGUUGCCUCGGGGCGACCCGGACGUUUCGGCGUCGGGGCCCCCGGUGGACCCCCUUCAAACACUGCAUUGUUGCGUCGGUUUAUUUGAUGAAUCAAUCAAAAACUUUCAACAACGGAUCUCUUGGUUCUGGCAUCGAUGAAGAACGCAGCGAAAUGCGAUAAGUAAUGUGAAUUGCAGAAUUCAGUGAAUCAUCGAAUCUUUGAACGCACAUUGCGCCCUUUGGUAUUCCGAGGGGCAUGCCCGUUCGAGCGUCAUUUCACCACUCAAGCCCGGCUUGGUGUUGGGUCCCGGUGACCCGCGACCUCAAAUGUCUCGCGGCUGGAACGGACCCGUAACCUCAGCGUUGUGGAACAUCAAGCUCGCUGCAGAAGGGUGGCCCAGCGCCGUCAAACAUCUCACUUACAGGUUGACCUCGGAUCAGGUAGGGAUACCCGCUGAACUUAA